UCCCCGUUACCGGGGCAGUCUAACUAGAGAAAUUCAACUAGCUAUAAGGGUUGCGCUCGUUAAUGGACUUAACCAAACAUCUCACGACACGAGCUGACGACGGCCAUGCAACACCUGUCACCGGGUUCCAAAUGGCACUCUCUUCUUUCGAGGAGAUUCCCGGGAUGUCAAACCCUGGUAAGGUUCUUCGCUUACCAUCGAAUUAAAGAACACGCUCCACCGCUUGUGCGGGUCCCCGUCAAUUCCUUUAUGUUUUAAGCUUGCGCUCGUACUCCACAGGCGGGAUGCUUAACGCGUUAGCUUCGCUACUAGAAGGGUCGAUACUCCUAACAGCUAGCAUCCAUCGUUUACGGCGUGGACUAC
RNAcentral lists this unclassified non-coding RNA (363 nucleotides) under uncultured bacterium. Its description in RNAcentral is "contains 16S-23S intergenic spacer region". The record is from RNAcentral.